UACAGAGGUGGCAAGCGUUGUUCGGAAUUACUGGGCGUAAAGGGCGCGUAGGCGGCCUCUUUAGUCAGACGUGAAAUCCCCCGGCUUAACCUGGGAACUGCGUCUGAUACUGGGAGGCUAGAGUUCGGGAGAGGGAUGUAGAAUUCCAGGUGUAGCGGUGAAAUGCGUAGAUAUCGAGAGGAACACCUGCGGCGAAGGCGGGUUGCUGGGCCGACACUGACGCUGAUGCGCGAAAGCCAGGGGAGCGAACGGG
RNAcentral lists this ribosomal RNA (253 nucleotides) under uncultured bacterium. RNAcentral describes it as "partial 16S ribosomal RNA". It matches the Rfam family "Bacterial small subunit ribosomal RNA", at positions 524 to 776 of the family's 1533-position model. The record is from RNAcentral.